GUAGCAGUCAGUAUUAAAUUACCAACAUUUAAAUGUUUGAAUGUGCAACAUGUGUGAGUAGCACAACUAUUUUCCAUUUAGCCUAACAGAAAUGCAGUAUAAUGGCAGUAUGAAAAGACUGGAAAUUUAGCAAGUGAUGGAGCAGAAACGCCAUUCAUCAUUCGAGCGUGGAGGCUGGGUUGGAUGUUCAGCAGCAAGCCCUCUCGUGCAUUGUGUAGGGCCAUGGAAGCAUGGUACUGCCUGCAAAGCAGUGGGAAGAUCAAACAGCCAGCUGCUCAACAUUGGUCACUGCCUUCAGAGAACGAUGAACACAUCAGCGCGGCUGAGAGCUGCUGUAGAUCACCCAGCACACACAGAGUAUCACACUGACCUUCAGAGAAGUUUCAAAGUAGAGGAUGUUGUGGUACCACCUGUCACUGCUAUAAAUAUUUCUUUGCUGCAAUCCGCCCACGUGGCGAAGGAUGACACUGCCGUGUGCCCCAGCUGUCCUGGCCAGCGUCACUUCACAAAGAAUUGGGCUGCUUAG
Molecule: long non-coding RNA, 526 nt
Filed under: Phasianus colchicus (ring-necked pheasant)
Lineage: Eukaryota; Metazoa; Chordata; Aves; Galliformes; Phasianidae
Description: lncRNA (ENSPCLG00000010813.1)
Source: RNAcentral